UCAUAACAGGUUUCCGUAGGUGAACCUGCGGAAGGAUCAUUAAUAAUGCCCUCUGACGCAAGUCAUUGGGUUAGAUCUGCUCUCUUCGCAAGAAGAGGGUUUCCAUACACACCGUGAACUGUGGCUUCGGCCAUCACAAACUGUUAGUAAUGAAUGUAUAUCAUAACAAAAACAAAACUUUUAACAACGGAUCUCUUGGCUCUCGCAUCGAUGAAGAACGCAGCGAAAUGCGAUAAGUAAUGUGAAUUGCAGAAUUCAGUGAAUCAUCGAAUCUUUGAACGCACCUUGCGCCCUUUGGUAUUCCGAAGGGCAUGCCUGUUUGAGUGUCAUGAAACCUCACCCCACUUGGGUUUUUGCCUGAGCGGUGGUGUAUUGGGUGUUGCCUUGCUAAAGGCUCGCCUUAAAGACAUAAGCACCUUGGAUGUAAUACGUUUCAUCCUUCUGGGUGGCUGAUAACCCCACAUAUUCAUGAUCUGGCCUCAAAUCAGGUAGGGCUACCCGCUGAACUUAAGCAUAUCA
This 519-nucleotide ribosomal RNA is filed under the name uncultured fungus. RNAcentral's name for it is "eukaryotic LSU rRNA". The stretch from base 176 to 329 matches the Rfam family "5.8S ribosomal RNA". The record is from RNAcentral. Lineage: Eukaryota; Fungi.